GACGAACGCUGGCGGCGUGCUUAACACAUGCAAGUCGAACGGAAAGGCCCUGCUUUUGUGGGUUGCUCGAGUGGCGAACGCGUGAGUAACACGUGAGUAACCUGCCCUUGACUUUGGGAUAACUUCAGGAAACUGGGGCUAAUACCGGAUAUGAUCUCCUGCUGCAUGGUGGGCGUUGGAAAGUUUCGGCGGUUGGGGCUGGACUCGCGGCUUAUCAGCUUGUUGGUGGGGUAGUGGCUUACCAAGGGUUUGACGGGUAGCCGGCCUGAGAGGGUGACCGGCGACAAUGGGACUGAGAUACGGACCAGAAGCCUACGGGAGGCAGCAGUGGGGAAUAUGGCACAAUGGGCGGGAGCCUGAUGCAGCAGCGCCGCGUGCGGGAUGACGGCCUUCGGGUUGUAAACCGCUGUCGCCUGUGACGAAGCGGGAGUGACGGUAAUGGGUAAAGAAGCACCGGCUAACUACGUG
RNAcentral lists this ribosomal RNA (468 nucleotides) under uncultured bacterium. RNAcentral's name for it is "partial 16S ribosomal RNA". It matches the Rfam family "Bacterial small subunit ribosomal RNA", at positions 28 to 507 of the family's 1533-position model. The record is from RNAcentral.